Molecule: ribosomal RNA, 402 nt
Filed under: Bacteroidota bacterium
Lineage: Bacteria; Pseudomonadati; Bacteroidota
Description: Bacteroidetes bacterium partial 16S ribosomal RNA
Rfam family: Bacterial small subunit ribosomal RNA
Source: RNAcentral
UGGGGAAUUUUGCACAAUGGGGGAAACCCUGAUGCAGCGACGCCGCGUGAUUUAGAAGGCCUUCGGGUUGUAAAAAUCUUUUGUAUAGGAAGAAAAUGACAGUACUAUACGAAUAAGGACCGGCUAAUUACGUGCCAGCAGCCGCGGUAAUACGUAAGGUCCGAGCGUUGUCCGGAAUCAUUGGGCGUAAAGGGUACGUAGGCGGGUAAGCAAGUUAGAAGUGAAAUCCUAUAGCUCAACUAUAGUAAGCUUUUAAAACUGCUCAUCUUGAGGUAUGGAAGGGAAAGUGGAAUUCCUAGUGUAGCGGUGAAAUGCGCAGAUAUUAGGAGGAAUACCGGUGGCGAAGGCGACUCUCUGGUCUGUAACUGACGCUGAGGUUCGAAAGCGUGGGUAGCAAACAGG